UUAAAGAUAAUGAUAAGGAGUAGUACUUAAAUAUAUUAUUUUUAGAGAGCUAAGGGUUGGUGAGACUUAGUAAUAAUAAUUUAAAGAAGCAGCCUUUGAAUCGCUUACUGAGAACUAAGAAUUUUUCUUAAUGUAGGUAAAGCCGUAUUUUCCUAACGUUAAAAGGAAUAAAACAUUAUAAUUAUUAUAUAUAUAAUAAUUAUAAAAGUUUUUACUGAGUGAGUAAAGAAAUUUACUUAUUAGGGUGGUACCGCGGAAUAAUAGCUUCGUCCCUUUU
This 277-nucleotide non-coding RNA is filed under the name Clostridium celatum. RNAcentral's name for it is "T-box sequence". It matches the Rfam family "T-box leader". Rfam says of the family: Uncharged tRNA acts as the effector for transcription antitermination of genes in the T-box leader family. T-boxes are found upstream of many aminoacyl-tRNA synthetase genes and some amino acid biosynthetic genes usually in Gram-positive bacteria. The record is from RNAcentral. Lineage: Bacteria; Bacillati; Bacillota; Clostridia; Eubacteriales; Clostridiaceae.